UCGAGAAUUUUUCUCAAUGGGCGAAAGCCUGAAGGAGCGACGCCGCGUGGGGGAUGAAUGGCUUCGGCCCGUAAACCCCUGUCAUUCGGGAUCAAUGCUUGUUUCCCAACACGAGACAAGUUGAUAGUACCGGAAGAGGAAGGGACGGCUAACUCUGUGCCAGCAGCCGCGGUAAUACAGAGGUCCCAAGCGUUGUUCGGAUUUACUGGGCGUAAAGGGUGCGUAGGUGGUUGGGUAAGUCUGAUGUGAAAUCUCCGGGCUCAACCCGGAAAUGGCAUUGGAUACUAUUCGACUAGAGGGUUGGAGGGGGGACUGGAAUACUUGGUGUAGCAGUGAAAUGCGUAGAUAUCAAGUGGAACACCAGUGGCGAAGGCGAGUCCCUGGACAACUCCUGACACUGAGGCACGAAAGCUAGGGGAGCAAACAG
RNAcentral lists this ribosomal RNA (427 nucleotides) under uncultured bacterium. RNAcentral describes it as "bacterial SSU rRNA". It matches the Rfam family "Bacterial small subunit ribosomal RNA", at positions 355 to 775 of the family's 1533-position model. The record is from RNAcentral.